Molecule: small RNA, 101 nt
Filed under: Aotus nancymaae (Ma's night monkey)
Lineage: Eukaryota; Metazoa; Chordata; Mammalia; Primates; Aotidae
Description: Y RNA (ENSANAG00000006165.1)
Rfam family: Y RNA
About the family: Y RNAs are components of the Ro ribonucleoprotein particle (Ro RNP), in association with Ro60 and La proteins. The Y RNAs and Ro60 and La proteins are well conserved, but the function of the Ro RNP is not known.
Source: RNAcentral
GACAAGAUAAGAAUGCCUGCUUUUACAACUAAUUGAUCACAAUCAGUUACAGAUUUCUUUGUUCCUUCUCCACUCCCACUGCUUCACUUGACUAGCCUUUA